RNAcentral lists this unclassified non-coding RNA (3355 nucleotides) under Leishmania donovani. Its description in RNAcentral is "gene:LdHU3.10.1450(CDS-product:carrier_protein_pu tative)". The record is from RNAcentral. Lineage: Eukaryota; Euglenozoa; Kinetoplastea; Trypanosomatida; Trypanosomatidae.
CUCUUUGCUUUUUCUUUCGAAGUCUCUUGUUUAUAUCCGCUCUGACUGUAAGCACCUCCACAGAAAAGCAAGCGCUGCCGCCUGCCGUUAGAUCCGCCAUCGCCGUUCAUCACCUCAGCUUGUCGUGUUGCUUCCGUGUGCGUUUGCGUGUGUGUACGUGCUUCUCCCGCCCGCCUCAUUCCAACGCGCCUCCACCACCUUCCUUCCCCUCCUCAUCCGUUCCUGCUACUCCUGCUGCUGCUGCUGCUGCGCCCUCGCGCGCGCGCAUCGAACCUGUUCGGGCACGCACCAACACACAAGCAUACGUUGCAGCCGUCGAGCUCGCUGUGACGCAGCAGCAUAAACGGCGCACGUCUGCUCUCCAGCGCUCUUGUCUCCUCUUCCUCUUCUCAAAGCCUCCGCGCAGCGUUGCAUCGGCGCUGAGGAGCGGGCACGCGCGCACACACGCUCUCUCAGGCAUUUACGAGUCCUGCUGUGAGCGUGACAGCUGCAUCAGCAGCAGACGUAAGCGUUGCAGCAGCUUCAACAGCGACCGCAAUCGCCACCACCACUGCUACACUCAUUCUUGUUCCCUUCUGGGUAGAUUGCCCCACCCACUCUUUGCGGAUGUAGACGUGUAGACGCGUGCGUGCGUGCGUGUAUACAUAUAUAUAUAUGUGUGUGUGUGUGUGUGUUUCCGGUUUCCAAUCGUUUCUUCUGCCCGCAGCACUACUCUCUGUGCAGCACCCCACCACCACCACCUCCCCUUGGUCUGAAGUCGCUUGGCUGAUGGACGGACGUGUGUCUGGGCCUGUGUGCAUUUCUGUUUCACCACCCUUUGUUUUAUUAUUAUUUUGCAUCGCGAGAGACUUUCUCUGCUGCUGGCAUUGCGCCUUGGCCUCCCCCCUUGGCUUGCCAUCGCUUCCUUGCCCGCCACGCACACACGGGACGCAGACGCAUCUUCGUUGUCUCCCGUGACCGCAGUGCACGAACUGCCCGACGAGAGAAGAUGCUUACCGAGUCCUCCCUGAUGGAAGCAGACGGCGCCGUCUACGAGCCCUCCGCUGCCCACGGCAGCACCAGCGUGCACGCGCCUCACCACCACCACAAUAGCCAUCACCACACCCACACCUAUCAAGCGCAUCAGCAGCACAGCUCUGCCUCGCACCCGCACUCGUCGCCACUUGGUUUUCUCACGCAUGAUGUGGAAGAGGACCCGCCGCUGCACGAGCACACGACCAGCGUCAACCGUAGUUACUCAGACCUCCAUCAAGGUGCCUUCCUGUGCUACGCGUUCGGUCUGUGCGCGCUCCGCACGGCGCUUCAGCAUCCGAUGAACCUAGCUCUUGCUCGGAAGCAGACAAGCGCCGCAGCGAACACGAUGACUACAUGGGGCGUCCUCUCUCACAUCUUCGCGCACGAAGGACGGUGGCGCGGCCUUCUGCAGGGCAUCGGCUCCCUCUCGAUGGGCUGUGCACUCAGCGAGGUCAUCUACCUGUGCAUUUUUGAGUGGGGCCGCGAGCAGGUUCCCAUCGACGGCACCGCAACGCGCGACGCCAUCUCCGGGUACGCUGCCGACGUCAUGUGUCGCUCCGUGCACAUCCCACUUAGCAUAAUUGCGUACCGCCAGAUGACGGCGUCCCCGUCGCGGCGCAUGAACUCGUGGCGGACGCUGCAGCACAUGUACUCGGAGCGCGGCCUACGCACGGUGUUCGCCGGCUUCGGCACAACCCUAGUCGUCGGGUGCCAGUGGACAGCCAUAUGGUGGGCAAUGUAUGGUCGGCUGAAAAGCUUCCUCUACGACACCUCUGGGCCGCAUCUGCAGCGGCUCUCUGAGAAGAGCAAGGCGUCCCAGCGAGGGGGCGACGCAGCGGACAGUGGAUGGCGUCUGCCGAGCUGGUGCAUCUCCUCCGACGACAACGUCCUCAUCAACGGUGCUGCCUCCGUCACGACGAGCGCGGCUACCGCGGUGCUCUUCAAUCCCUAUCUGGUAGUGCGAACAAAUCUGCAGGUGACCCCCGGAGCUACGCUGUGGUCCGUGACUCGGCAGCUGCACCGCAGGCGCGGCUUCCGCGGCUUCUACAGCGGGCUGCUGCUGAGCGUGAACGCGUGUGUUGUGGACGGUGUCUUGGCGUCGACCAGUUACGAGUAUGCGAAGCUGUGGGCCGACCGCACCCGGGAUGGCCAUGCCAGAUAAGCGUGCGCACCGGCAUGCACACAAGGGAACAGAAAAUGAAAAUAGAGGGGGCAAGCAAGAGAGCGAGGCACGUGGGCGGAGGGCCCCUUCCUCCUACUGAACUCCUCGCCAGCAUAGAUAAAACAUGCACUGCUUAUACGCGCUACACGUGAUGGGCUAGUGUAUUGUAGGUGUGUGUGUGUGCGAUGCUGUCCUCGUUGAUUUCCUGCUCUGGAGGGUGAGACGGGCUCGAGGAGCAGCACACGAGGACAUCCCGUGGUGAAGAGGGGGGCGCGUACUGGGCAGGGGGUCCCGAACGACGAACUCUCGCUCACUUGCGCGCUCUCUUCAUUGCCUCCUCUCUCCACUGCCUACGUGGCCAUGCCCAACACGUUUGGUGGCACUACCCAUCACAGGCUUGAAAGAGAUGGAGAAUGGAGCCCAUCAACCCCGAUAAAGCGCCUCACCCCCCCCCGCCUCCCUCCUUCUCUGUCUCUCCCUCUCUUUCCCUCACUGACCUCACCCUGGCGAGGGCAGGAACUCUUCACUUUUAAGGAGGAAGGGAGAGAGGCGGGAGAGAUCGGCUCGCAGAGAGAUGCGCGAGGUUUGCGUAUGUGUGUGUGUGUAUGUGUGUAUGCGCGCCCGUGAGCGUCGUAGCGGUUGGAACUCCAUCGAGAUUGAACUUGUUUGCCUCCCUCGUUGUGUGUCGCCGGUGCACUUCUCUCCCCUCCCCCUCCCUUGUCCACUCGCCCUCUCCGCGUCUCAGUCGCUCCCAUGCGUCUGUGUACCCCUUGGCCCUUGUGGCUGUAUGCUUGCCUGGCCCAUGCAUGUAAGUGCAGAGGCCGCCUCCGGCUCGCCCUCUCUUCUCUCCGCCUAUUGGGAGGAGUGAGGGCGCUUCUCUGCCCGUGUGAAGGCGCAACACACGCACACAAGAUAGACAACGCGGGAAGCGGAGCAGCAUCAUCCUCACCGUCGUCAUGGCUGCCGUUCGCGCUCGGUGUCGUGGUGGUGCUCGUGCGCGAUGGUCAGCCAAUACACACUUGUCCAAGAGAAAAGUGGUUGGCGCCCUUUCGCAAAUGCAUGUGAGACGUGGCCCGGCGUGGUCCAUCUCCGCGUAUCGUCAUCGCCGCAUUAUGCCCUCCACCGCCAUCACCACCACCCUCGUCGUCGCCGUGCAGGACGCAUGUGUGGGAAUGGCCA